RNAcentral lists this ribosomal RNA (469 nucleotides) under uncultured bacterium. Its description in RNAcentral is "partial 16S ribosomal RNA". It matches the Rfam family "Bacterial small subunit ribosomal RNA", at positions 27 to 507 of the family's 1533-position model. The record is from RNAcentral.
GGACGAACGCUGGCGGCGUGCUUAACACAUGCAAGUCGACCGGAAAGGCCCUGCUUUUGUGGGGUGCUCGAGUGGCGACCGGGUGAGUAACACGUGAGUAACCUGCCCUUGACUUUGGGAUAACUUCAGGAAACUGGGGCUAAUACCGGAUAGGAGCUCCUGCUGCAUGGUGGGGGUUGGAAAGUUUCGGCGGUUGGGGAUGGACUCGCGGCUUAUCAGCUUGUUGGUGGGGUAGUGGCUUACCAAGGCUUUGACGGGUAGCCGGCCUGAGAGGGUGACCGGCCACAUUGGGACUGAGAUACGGCCCAGACUCCUACGGGAGGCAGCAGUGGGGAAUAUUGCACAAUGGGCGGAAGCCUGAUGCAGCAACGCCGCGUGCGGGAUGACGGCCUUCGGGUUGUAAACCGCUUUCGCCUGUGACGAAGCGUGAGUGACGGUAAUGGGUAAAGAAGCACCGGCUAACUACGUG